Molecule: transfer RNA, 67 nt
Filed under: Arisubathynella cheongmiensis
Lineage: Eukaryota; Metazoa; Arthropoda; Malacostraca; Bathynellacea; Parabathynellidae
Description: tRNA-His
Source: RNAcentral
AUAUAAAUAGUUUAAAUAAAACAAUAUCAUGUGAUGUUAAAAAUAUAAUUAACUAUUAUUUUAUAUA